GGCGGGGGGUGGGGUGGGAGACAAACCCUGUGGACACAUCCCAGAAAAUGGGAAACUGAAUCACCCAAGGGAUGGCGAGGGCUGACCAGAGGGAGAGAAAGUUCCAAUCCCCUCCAUACACCAACAGCCCCAUUUGGAAAAGAACGGAUUUAACAGACCUCACCAAGACAAGAGUCAUUUUUCACCAAAGAAAAUCAAAGGAACGAACAAGAGGCAAUGGCUACUGGAGACUCCACCUUCUGGUCUAGGAAGACCCAAGCAGACAGUGGCUUCAUCCAUCAAAGCCCCAAGUGUAUCAAAUAUUUACUGAGGCCACAGACUCUUUCCUACCAGAGCCUUAGACUGUCGUGUGCAUCUGAUUGCCCCAAAGACAGACCACUGGGACCUUCAGUGCAGCAUGCCUUUUAUCAUAAAAAGUCUUAGCCAGAAAAAUAGCCACCCCCAGCUUAAUUCCUAGAGGAAUUCAAAUCACUUUGUUAAGAAAAUCCCCAGAGGAGAUUUUAUACUAAGGAGCAUCCCACAAUGCUGCCUGCCAUCUCUAGGUUCUCUAAAAGCAAGCCCAGCCUUGAUGAAAAAAGAGUGCCUGACAUCAGGGGAGUUUGGCUGGAUGGCUGAAGAAAGGAGAACUUUACCCCGAAGCGCAAUGCUCAGAUGUACAAAAGCUCCUGUUUAACUGGAAGAACCUGAUCGGGUGAUCAUCGUCCACAGCCAGUUCCUUCUCUGACUAUCUCCUGAAAUUGCAGAUUGAGUGAGUGCCACCAAUUGCAGCUGCUUUUCCUGAACACUCUGCUCCUGGAGAGUUUGGUCCACAGCAGUAGCUAAAUACGCAUGCAGCGUGUACGUCCUCUCAUGGCCUUCAUCGUUAUUUAUGAACUAACUUCGAAGGGAAGUCAUUUCCAUCCAGAAAACCUGACAUACGCUUUUCCGUACCCACCCAUGCAUAGAGAUAAGAAAACUGUGCUCUUUUACUAUUCUGGCAAGCAGGAGGCAACGUUUUCCAGAUGCCGUUAUGGGCAGCCCCGAGCCAUCCACUGCGUAUCCCAGAAAGCCAAAUGGCCCAAAGCCUCCAUUCCUAAGCCACUCUCCAGUCCCCAAACAUGUCACAAUCUCUCAUACCUCCUGACCUUGGCCCAGGCUGCCUCUUGGUAGAAUGGCCCCACCCCCACCCUGCCCUCACAGCCCCUUCAACCACAAGACCUGGGUCCAGGUCAAAUGGCCCAGAUCCUCCUCUCUAAAUGCUUCCUUCUAAGAAGGAGCCCCUCCCCCUCUACUGUCCAUCCCCUCCAGUAUUGUGGGGGCUCCCUGAGGACAAGGACCAGCCCCUAUUCACAGUGAAUACUGGACGGCAUCACAUGCCCUGGCAUCUGCAGUAGACAGAAGCCAAGACCUUUGUGCCCUGCAAAUCUUCACUGCCAGCUUCAGCUCUUCCAAAAUAAAAGCUGACUUUUAAAAGUAA
Long non-coding RNA from Prionailurus viverrinus (fishing cat), 1456 nucleotides. RefSeq lists it as uncharacterized. Lineage: Eukaryota; Metazoa; Chordata; Mammalia; Carnivora; Felidae. The record is from RefSeq and is a predicted model, not a curated record. The transcript is spliced from 2 exons.